AAAAAACAAGGAAUUGUUUUUCUUUUAAAAUGAUGACGUCAUCUUGCUGGUGAUGGAUGCUCGAAUAGGUCGCGCAUGAGACUCCAUUAUCAGCAACAUCUGGUAUGAAUGUGUGUGAACGAAUGCAUGUGACUGGACUGUGAUGGACGGACUAAAAGUUUUGACUGACUUGAUACUGAGACAAUGACUGCACCAACUUUAGGAUUAGUAAAUGCCAACAAACAAUUCACCUAGCCGGCAAGAGAAGGGUGGAUGCUUCGCUUUGUUUUGUUUUUGCAGGAGCAGGGGGAUGAGAGAGACUGAGGAGGAGACGGUAGCUUCACAUGAGAGUGUGGAACUGCAGAUUUAACCCGUUGGUUGCUAAUUUUGAGUUCUGAGAUAUGAUGUCACUAACCUUCUCUUUUAAUUUUCUGGCUCCGAUGAAUUGACACAUGGGAGUGUGUCAAAAAGGGGGAAGUUGAGUCUGAACAUCAAACAAUGGUUUUAUGAACAUUUUAUGACUCAAACAAUGGUUUUAUGAACAUUUUAUGACUUUAUUUGUGUGUUUAAUAAUUUAGGUAUGGUAAAACUUAAGCUUAUAGUGUGUUAGACUUAGAAGUGGUUCAUUAAUUUUUGAUUUCUUUUACACACACAUAGAUUAUGAUUAGAAUGAGUUCCUUGGUCAGAGAGUCCUGAGCAUGAUAUUUUAAACCAAAUUUGAAUAAUUAGAAGAACAAUGGAUAACAAUAUUAGAUUAUCAAGGCUAGGGAGAGAGGUGUUUUGGUUUUCUGUCUCUUACAGAGAAAGGAACAGACACCAGAUGAGGACACGGAGGUAUGAGGACCCUUCACAGCAGAGACAGAUGUAGGGACUCCCGAGACAGCAACUGGGGUCAUGUGUCAUGGCGUUUGGGCUCCUUGAGAAGAUGGAUCCCAUAAACACAGCAAUAACCAUGAAGGGGUUGGCGAAAAUCUAGGAACACCAGACCAACGAGGGUGGUCUAACCCCGGAGGUCGAAGAAAGAAGCUGAGAAUCACCCAACUGGAAGAUACUGGUAGCUGCAGCAAUAAAAAUAAAGGUUAAAAGCUCCUUAGACAGAGGUUCUAGUCUGAGUACAUUUGAAAGGUAUAAGGUGGCACCAAAA
Molecule: long non-coding RNA, 1123 nt
Organism: Oreochromis aureus
Lineage: Eukaryota; Metazoa; Chordata; Actinopteri; Cichliformes; Cichlidae
Source: Ensembl